CGCCUUUUGAAAUUUAAACAUGAAAGGUCUCGCCUGCCCAGUGACACAUUUAACGGCCGCGGUAUUAUGACCGUGCAAAGGUAGCGUAAUCACUUGUCUCUUAAAUAGAGACCAGUAUGAACGGCGAAACGAGGGCCUAACUGUCUCACUAAAUUAGUCAGUGAAAUUGAUUUUCCCGUGCAGAAGCGGGAAUAAUAAUAUAAGACGAGAAGACCCUGUGGAGCUUUAAACCUAAGCUAAUAUAUACAUAGCAUAGCAACCUGUUUUAGGUUGGGGCGACCAAGAGGUAAAAUAAACCCUCAAGACCACAAACAAGAAGGACACUUCCAAUAAAUAGUACUACUAAUAUUUUGACCCAAUAUUUGAUCAACGAACCAAGUUACCCCAGGGAUAACAGCGCAAUCCUCUCAUAGAGCCCAUAUCGACGAGCGGGUUUACGACCUCGAUGUUGGAUCAGGGCCCCCAAACGGCGCAACCGCUGUUAAAGGUUCGUUUGUUCAACGAUUAAAGCCCU
Molecule: ribosomal RNA, 514 nt
Filed under: Dendrotriton rabbi (Guatemalan bromeliad salamander)
Lineage: Eukaryota; Metazoa; Chordata; Amphibia; Caudata; Plethodontidae
Description: partial 16S large subunit ribosomal RNA
Rfam family: Bacterial large subunit ribosomal RNA
Source: RNAcentral